RNAcentral lists this ribosomal RNA (509 nucleotides) under bacterium E-1-0-11E. RNAcentral's name for it is "bacterial SSU rRNA". It matches the Rfam family "Bacterial small subunit ribosomal RNA", at positions 395 to 895 of the family's 1533-position model. The record is from RNAcentral.
UGCCGCGUGUGUAGAGAAGGCCUUUUGGUUGUAAAGCACUUUAAGCGAGGAGGAGGAGCUCUUGGUUAAUACCCAAGAUGCUUGGACGUUACUCGCAGAAUAAGCACCGGCUAACUCUGUGCCAGCAGCCGCGGUAAUACAGAGGGUGCAAGCGUUAAUCGGAUUUACUGGGCGUAAAGCGCGCGUAGGUGGCCAAUUAAGUCAAAUGUGAAAUCCCCGAGCUUAACUUGGGAAUUGCAUUCGAUACUGGUUGGCUAGAGUAUGGGAGAGGAUGGUAGAAUUCCAGGUGUAGCGGUGAAAUGCGUAGAGAUCUGGAGGAAUACCGAUGGCGAAGGCAGCCAUCUGGCCUAAUACUGACACUGAGGUGCGAAAGCAUGGGGAGCAAACAGGAUUAGAUACCCUGGUAGUCCAUGCCGUAAACGAUGUCUACUAGCCGUUGGGGCCUUUGAGGCUUUAGUGGCGCAGCUAACGCGAUAAGUAGACCGCCUGGGGAGUACGGUCGCAAGACU